GGGGUACUUGAGUGUAGGCUUUGCCUGCUAUCUCUUACCCAUGUCUUUUGAGUACCUUACGUUUCCUCGGCGGGUCCGCCCGCCGAUUGGACAAUUUAAACCAUUUGCAGUUGCAAUCAGCGUCUGAAAAAACUUAAUAGUUACAACUUUCAACAACGGAUCUCUUGGUUCUGGCAUCGAUGAAGAACGCAGCGAAAUGCGAUAAGUAGUGUGAAUUGCAGAAUUCAGUGAAUCAUCGAAUCUUUGAACGCACAUUGCGCCCCUUGGUAUUCCAUGGGGCAUGCCUGUUCGAGCGUCAUUUGUACCUUCAAGCUCUGCUUGGUGUUGGGUGUUUGUCUCGCCUCUGCGUGUAGACUCGCCUCAAAACAAUUGGCAGCCGGCGUAUUGAUUUCGGAGCGCAGUACAUCUCGCGCUUUGCACUCAUAACGACGACGUCCAAAAGUACAUUUUUACACUCUUGACCUCGGAUCAGGUAGGGAUACCCGCUGAACUUAAGCAUAUCAAUAAGUCGGAGGAA
Molecule: ribosomal RNA, 517 nt
Filed under: Phoma moricola
Lineage: Eukaryota; Fungi; Ascomycota; Dothideomycetes; Pleosporales; Didymellaceae
Description: eukaryotic LSU rRNA
Rfam family: 5.8S ribosomal RNA (bases 145-298)
Source: RNAcentral